Molecule: long non-coding RNA, 1017 nt
Organism: Acipenser ruthenus (sterlet)
Lineage: Eukaryota; Metazoa; Chordata; Actinopteri; Acipenseriformes; Acipenseridae
Exons: 3
Source: RefSeq, a predicted model, not a curated record
UCACUUUCCCGUUGGCUACUCACUCGCCUUCAAUUUUCAUGCAGAAUACCGUGAACGGCCUCUGCUUAAUUAUGAUUGGACAACUGCGUAAACUUGGCAGAUAUUUGAUUCUCCUAUUGGUUAAACUUACUGUCAGUACCUGCAACUGAAACAGACAGAGUUAAUGUCCCACCCAGCUAAUUUAUGGUUGGGCUACCGCAGAGAAAAUGCAGAUAUUCAGUUGGAUGAUCGUAUCGCAGAGGUACUUCAGGAAAGAAAAAAAUAUGUCGAGUACGUACAAGCACAGCACCACUUUGAGGACCAAUGCUUUACAGGGACGACGGGGGCCCCCCUAGGAGGCGGGGCCCCGGGCUUCAGCCCAUGUAGCCCAUUGGCUUAACACCCUGACUGGAACCUGUCCAACACUGAUAUCCUUCCCCUACAGAACAUCCAAACUAAACAGCUGUGGGAAUCCAGCGAGGAGAGACUGUUGGAAAAAAAUCCGAACCUAGCAGCGUUCUGGGAGACGCCAACUACUAGACAGUGCUAUAUCAAGACUGGACACUGAUAGAAGACCCCUAAUGGCAAUGCCCAGAGAGGGACAUGAAAUGAAACCUAGGGGAAGACCAAGGAUUCGCAAGACAGAUACCAUCAUGAACAACCUGCAGCAGGAAGGCUUAAAGAUGAAUGAAGCCCUGGAGUUGGUGUCAGACAGAAAACAGUGGAGCGACAUUCUGCCCCAUCAUCGCUGCUGAGCUGAUAGAUGGGAAUCUAAGAGAAGAAUAGUGCUGGGACAAAUAUUCUGAGAGAAGUAUAUCUGACAACUUGAGGUUCAUAGGAUUCAAUAAUGGCAAUGGUAGCUGAUGUAACUUAAAAAAGAGGAUGAUGAGUAAGUAGAUUCAAGAAACUGCACAGAGUCCUUUUCUUCAGUCAGUUGUUAGGUUUAUUGAAAUAUGCAGGGAGCCUGGUCCCAGGUACAGGACAAACAGAAUACUCGUUCUUACAAUUGUUGCAUGACAUUAAAUACCCUUCUGCAUA